This 746-nucleotide long non-coding RNA is filed under the name Olea europaea subsp. europaea. Lineage: Eukaryota; Viridiplantae; Streptophyta; Magnoliopsida; Lamiales; Oleaceae. The record is from RNAcentral.
AAUAAUAAUAGGUCUUUGAAACAAAGCAAUAUGACUUCGGUAACAAACGAAAAUCCACAGGAAAAAUGUAUAAGCGAGCAAUAACCUUGGAAAACAUGGCAACCCAAAGAAUACAAUAGUAGAGGUAAAGUCAUAUUUAAAAUCAAUAUUAGAGUCAAACAAAAGAUUAAACAAAAUCAACUUCGACGUGAAAUCCAUGUGGAUUAUUUGGCUUAGGUGACAACACCAUAGAUAAAUCCUCCUCCCUAUCAAAAAACUCAAUGGGAACAACAAUAGAAGCAUUAUUAUCUUUACAAGAGUAACACAACUAGACUUGGGAGGUACUUGCUGGGACUCGAGCGAUAGACCUAACCUAUGACAUAAUUGGCGAAGAUAGAAUGAUCUGUACCAAAGAUUGGCCUGCUAAUGAGCGUUAUCUAUCGGAGUGCAGGAAUGUCAUCAAAUAAGAUUUCAAGAUUCAAAUCAUUAAGAAAUUUAGAUGAACUGUGCAAUAACUCUUCAAAGUAAGCUUGAUAUUUUCUAGCAGGCUGAUCCUUAUCUACAAUGCAAAAAUAAUUGAUCUAACAAUUGCAUUUGUAGUACACGAGGACGUAUUUAUUACUUAAAACUCAUUUCAUCUCAUCCCACGGGAGUAACAGUGUGCUAACCUAGGAGGUCAUGACAUGCAAAAUGAACUUCCAAUAUCACCUAGCAAAACCACAAGUGACUUUAUGUCAUCUUUCACUUAAGUUUUGAAAGUCAAAAAA